GGCACCUGAGAGGUCAAGACUUACCUCCACACCAGAGGGCAUUUUCCAGCUUCUUCCCUGGCACCAUCUGCAGGACCAGGGUGGAAGUAGCUCUUCCUGACUCCAGUUCAAUGUCAGCUUCCAGAGUGGCUCCUGACUUUUUGUGGCUCAGCCACGGGAUGGGUGGAAGGAGUGUGUAAAAGGUGACAACAGAGAAUCGAGGAUGGAAGGCAAAGCACCAGCCCUAGGCAGAGCUCCAGCUCCGUCCAAGCUCCAGUUUUAACGUCUGGCUUGACAAGAACUUCCAAAGCCCAGUAUACAUCUCCAGGUGGACAGAAGAUACUGAAAAUUUCUGUUGGUUCUGCAGCUUCAUCACCCUUGGUGCAUUUCUGCUGAACAGGAAUUAUCAGCUUCAAUAUGGAUCUGUUGGAGCCAGUCCAGGGGCUAACCCUGAGGAUGAACAGAGGGCUGGAGGAAAGACAGAGAGAAUUGGGUUUGUUGGAGAAGACAAGGCUCCAGAGAUACAUCGGAGCAUCUUUUCAGUCCCUCUAAGGGGCCUACAAGAAAGAUGGGGACAAACCUUUUAGCAGAGCCUGUUGUGCCAGAACAAGAAUAGUUUUAAAUUCCAGGAGGGUCAAUAUAGACAGGUUAUAAGAAAGAAGACUUUUACCAAAAAACCUGGGGCACUGGCAGACAUUGCCCAGAGAAAUGGUAGAUGCCCCAUCCAAGGAAACAUUGCAGGUGAGGUUGGAUGUGGUUUUAAGGUCCCCACCAACUAAAACUAUUCCAUGAUUACAACAGCCCUUGCUUUGUCUCCCAGGUGAGGGCUCCCACUCAUGUCCUACUGAGUAGGGGAAUGUUUUCCCACCAAGCUAGUGGUUUGAUAAACCCAGUAAUUUGUAAAUGUAAUCUUUUGAUCCUAGACAUUUUCCUCCUAACCUUCAUUUCCUUCCUUUUUU
Molecule: long non-coding RNA, 938 nt
Filed under: Chloebia gouldiae (Gouldian finch)
Lineage: Eukaryota; Metazoa; Chordata; Aves; Passeriformes; Passeridae
Description: Erythrura gouldiae (Gouldian finch) lncRNA (ENSEGOG00005015576.1)
Source: RNAcentral